This 975-nucleotide long non-coding RNA is filed under the name Marmota monax (woodchuck). The record is from RNAcentral. Lineage: Eukaryota; Metazoa; Chordata; Mammalia; Rodentia; Sciuridae.
UUUCUCAUUUCAAUUUGUAUCCUGAAUCCUCUCAUGUUGCAUAACCACCUGCAUUGUCUAGCUGCAACCUGGAGCCCAAAGCUGAGUACAUGGGUCCUGUGGGGAGGACAAGCAAAGGACUUCUGGAGGAAAUGAGGCAGAAACUUCUUUUUUAGGGGGAAGACACAUAUCAGGGUAGGUGUCAGCACUCAGGAUAGUUAAAUAUAAGGAUCCAUGUCAACUGUGUCAAAAAAAUCAAGCAGCUAAAUGCACUUUUUCCAAGAACUCAAAGCUUUGAUAACAACUAUAAGCUCAUGGAAUAUCAAAUGCCACUGCAUAUGUCCUUAUAGACUUAUGGUUUCAAUUUUUACACACACACACACACACACACACACAACCAACUCCUCCUUGCCUGGAAUCUACCUCAGAAGAGAAUAGGCCUCUAGGCAUAAAGAUGAAUACAUAGUUCAUGGUUCCCCUUCUGAAGAACACACUCAAAAUAAAUACAAGUAGUAUCAAAUCCAGCUCACUUAGGUAGAACCAAAACAAACAGAAAAGCUUAAUUUAGCAAUGGCAUAGCACUGGCCUGUUCUCACCUGGAAACCACUGUCUGUGGCUUCAGUUUGGAAGUGUGGCAUUGGGUGUUGGGUCCAUGUCCCAUGUGUCACUUUUAACAGUAAAAUUCUUGUGGAUGUAAAAAAGUGAUGCUUUGGGCUGAGCAUGGUGGCACAUGCCCUGAAAUCUCAGCAAGUCGGGAGGUUGAAGCAGGAGGAUCGCAAUAUCAAUGCCAGCCUCGUCAACUUAGUCAGACUCUGUCUCAAAAUAAAAAAGAAAAUGGCUGGAGGCAUAACUCAGCAGUAAAGCACCCAAAUUCAAUCCCCACUACUGCAAAAAAAAAAUUUAAAAGGGUUGGAACUGCAGCUCAGUUAUAGAGCACUCCUGACUUCAAUCCCUACUACCUCAAAACAAAACAACAAGCAACAUGGUGCUUUGUGG